RNAcentral lists this ribosomal RNA (422 nucleotides) under uncultured bacterium. RNAcentral describes it as "bacterial SSU rRNA". It matches the Rfam family "Bacterial small subunit ribosomal RNA", at positions 954 to 1392 of the family's 1533-position model. The record is from RNAcentral.
GCAGAACGCGAAGAACCUUACCCAGGUUUGACAUCCCACUAAGGAUCCCGAAAGGGAACUGUGUCUUCGGACCGUGGUGACAGGUGUUGCAUGGCCGUCGUCAGCUCGUGUCGUGAGAUGUCUGGUUAAGUCCAUCAACGAGCGCAACCCUUAUGAGUAGUUGUAUUUCUCUACUCAGACUGCCCUGGCAACAGGGAGGAAGGAGGGGAUGAUGUCAGGUCAGUAUUACCCUUACACCUGGGGCUACAAACACGCUACAAUGGCCGGUACAAAGGGCAGCCAACCCGCGAGGGGAGCAAAUCCCAUCAAAGCCGGUCUCAGUUCGGAUUGCAGGCUGAAACUCGCCUGCAUGAAGCUGGAAUCGCUAGUAAUGGUAGGUCAGCACACUACCGUGAAUACGUUCCCGGGUCUUGUACACACCG